GCAAGUCGCGGGGUAACGAUGAACUUCGGUUCAGUCGACGACCGGCGCACGGGUGAGUAACGCGUACACGACCUACCUUACACUGAGGGAUAGCCCUGGGAAACUGGGAUUAAUACCUCAUGGUAUUAGAUAAUUGCGAUUUUCUAAUUAAAGGUUUCGACUGGUGUAAGAUGGGUGUGCGUUAGAUUAGCUAGUUGGUAAGGUAAUGGCUUACCAAGGCGACGAUCUAUAGCUGGUUUGAGAGGAUGAUC
RNAcentral lists this ribosomal RNA (251 nucleotides) under uncultured bacterium. Its description in RNAcentral is "partial 16S ribosomal RNA". It matches the Rfam family "Bacterial small subunit ribosomal RNA", at positions 57 to 305 of the family's 1533-position model. The record is from RNAcentral.